AAUGUAGAGCCUGAAUAAAGGAUCGUCGUGAUAGGACGAAAUAUGUAAUACAUGCUUACCUACAUUA
Molecule: transfer RNA, 67 nt
Filed under: Marginitermes cactiphagus
Lineage: Eukaryota; Metazoa; Arthropoda; Insecta; Blattodea; Kalotermitidae
Description: tRNA-Ile
Source: RNAcentral